RNAcentral lists this RNase P RNA (384 nucleotides) under Muribaculaceae bacterium. Its description in RNAcentral is "RNase P RNA component class A". It matches the Rfam family "Bacterial RNase P class A". Rfam says of the family: Ribonuclease P (RNase P) is a ubiquitous endoribonuclease, found in archaea, bacteria and eukarya as well as chloroplasts and mitochondria. Its best characterised activity is the generation of mature 5'-ends of tRNAs by cleaving the 5'-leader elements of precursor-tRNAs. The record is from RNAcentral. Lineage: Bacteria; Pseudomonadati; Bacteroidota; Bacteroidia; Bacteroidales; Muribaculaceae.
CCGGAAGGCGGGUCUGUCGCUUCCGAACGCAUGAGGCGGAAGAGGAAAGUCCGGGCAACACAGAGCACCGCACUCCCUGCGGGGAGCUAUCGGCAACGGUAGAGUAAUGUGACAGAAAACAACCGCCCCGGCCUCCCCCGCGGAGGCCGGAGCAAGGGUGAAAAGGCGGGGUAAGAGCCCACCGGGCGCCACAGCGAUAUGGCGUGCCGCACAUCUUGCGGGUUGCAAGGUCAAGUACACCGGCAGGGGGCCUUCGGGCCCCGACGGGCUGCUCGCCCGGUGUCGGGGGGUAGACUGCUCAGAUAAAUGACAGACGGGCCGGCACGGCUCCGCUUGCGGAAAGUGUGCCGCCCACAUAACCCGGCUUAUACGCCAUCCGGCAAA